UCCCUGGUGGUUCAGUGGUUAACACUGUGUACUUUCAAUGCAGGGGGCUCAGGUUUGAUCCCUGAUCAGAGAA
Molecule: transfer RNA, 73 nt
Filed under: Bos taurus (domestic cattle)
Lineage: Eukaryota; Metazoa; Chordata; Mammalia; Artiodactyla; Bovidae
Also listed under: 1 other name
Rfam family: tRNA
About the family: Transfer RNA (tRNA) molecules are approximately 80 nucleotides in length. Their secondary structure includes four short double-helical elements and three loops (D, anti-codon, and T loops).
Source: Rfam by way of RNAcentral